Molecule: ribosomal RNA, 180 nt
Filed under: Triticum aestivum (bread wheat)
Lineage: Eukaryota; Viridiplantae; Streptophyta; Magnoliopsida; Poales; Poaceae
Description: partial small subunit ribosomal RNA
Source: RNAcentral
AUGUGUUUUGUUGUAAGCCAUGCCAUCUUUCCAAGGGUGUAUGCCAUGUAUUUUGUGAUCUCUAACAAUGACAUGCCUUGUUUUGCUAUGUUAAGUUCCUGUAGCAUGUUGAUUUCGUGCUCUGGACAUUGCUACCUGAUGCUGUUUUCUGCAUGUCCAGUAAUUUCACCAAGUCUGUGA